RNAcentral lists this ribosomal RNA (468 nucleotides) under uncultured bacterium. RNAcentral describes it as "partial 16S ribosomal RNA". It matches the Rfam family "Bacterial small subunit ribosomal RNA", at positions 28 to 507 of the family's 1533-position model. The record is from RNAcentral.
GAUGAACGCUGGCGGCGUGCUUAACACAUGCAAGUCGAACGGUGAAGGCGGAGCUUGCUCUGCUGGAUCAGUGGCGAACGGGUGAGUAACACGUGAGCAAUCUGCCCCUGACUCUGGGAUAAGCGCUGGAAACGGCGUCUAAUACUGGAUACGAGCUGCGAAGGCAUCUUCAGCAGCUGGAAAGAACUUCGGUCAGGGUUGAGCUCGCGGCCUAUCAGCUUGUUGGUGAGGUAACGGCUCACCAAGGCGUCGACGGGUAGCCGGCCUGAGAGGGUGACCGGCCACACUGGGACUGAGACACGGCCCAGACUCCUACGGGAGGCAGCAGUGGGGAAUAUUGCACAAUGGGCGAAAGCCUGAUGCAGCAACGCCGCGUGAGGGACGACGGCCUUCGGGUUGUAAACCUCUUUUAGCAGGGAAGAAGCGAAAGUGACGGUACCUGCAGAAAAAGCGCCGGCUAACUACGUG